This 253-nucleotide ribosomal RNA is filed under the name uncultured bacterium. Its description in RNAcentral is "partial 16S ribosomal RNA". It matches the Rfam family "Bacterial small subunit ribosomal RNA", at positions 524 to 776 of the family's 1533-position model. The record is from RNAcentral.
UACGUAGGGUGCAAGCGUUAAUCGGAAUUACUGGGCGUAAAGCGUGCGCAGGCGGUUUUGUAAGUCUGAUGUGAAAUCCCCGGGCUCAACCUGGGAAUUGCAUUGGAGACUGCAAGGCUAGAAUCUGGCAGAGGGGGGUAGAAUUCCACGUGUAGCAGUGAAAUGCGUAGAGACGUGGAGGAACACCGAUGGCGAAGGCAGCCCCCUGGGUCAAGAUUGACGCUCAUGCACGAAAGCGUGGGGAGCAAACAGG